AGGACGAACGCUGGCGGCGUGCCUAAUACAUGCAAGUCGAGCGGACCAAAUCGGAGCUUGCUCUGAUUUGGUCAGCGGCGGACGGGUGAGUAACACGUGGGCAACCUGCCCGCAAGACCGGGAUAACUCCGGGAAACCGGAGCUAAUACCGGAUAACACCGAAGACCGCAUGGUCUUUGGUUGAAAGGCGGCCUUUGGCUGUCACUUGCGGAUGGGCCCGCGGCGCAUUAGCUAGUUGGUGAGGUAACGGCUCACCAAGGCGACGAUGCGUAGCCGGCCUGAGAGGGUGACCGGCCACACUGGGACUGAGACACGGCCCAGACUCCUACGGGAGGCAGCAGUAGGGAAUCUUCCGCAAUGGGCGAAAGCCUGACGGAGCGACGCCGCGUGAGCGAAGAAGGCCUUCGGGUCGUAAAGCUCUGUUGUGAGGGACGAAGGAGCGCCGUUCGAAGAGGGCGGCGCGGUGACGGUACCUCACGAGGAAGCCCCGGCUAACUACGUGCCAGCAGCCGCGGUAAUACGUAGGGGGCGAGCGUUGUCCGGAAUUAUUGGGCGUAAAGCGCGCGCAGGCGGUUCCUUAAGUCUGAUGUGAAAGCCCACGGCUCAACCGUGGAGGGUCAUUGGAAACUGGGGGACUUGAGUGCAGGAGAGGAGAGCGGAAUUCCACGUGUAGCGGUGAAAUGCGUAGAGAUGUGGAGGAACACCAGUGGCGAAAGCGGCUCUCUGGCCUGCAACUGACGCUGAGGCGCGAAAGCGUGGGGGAGCAAACAGGGAUUAGAUACCUUGGCUAGUCCACUCCGUAAACGAUGAGUGCUAAGUGUUAGAGGGGUCUCACUCUUUAGUGCUGCAGCUAACGCGAUAAGCACUCCGCCUGGGGAGUACGGCCGCAAGGCUGAAACUCAAAGGAAUUGACGGGGGUCCGCUCAAGCGGUGGAGCAUGUGGUUUAAUUCGAAGCAACGCGAAGAACCUUACCAGGUCUUGACAUCCCCUGACAACCCAAGAGAUUGGGCGUUCCCCCUUCGGGGGGACAGGGUGACAGGUGGUGCAUGGUUGUCGUCAGCUCGUGUCGUGAGAUGUUGGGUUAAGUCCCGCAACGAGCGCAACCCUCGCCUCUAGUUGUCAGCACGAAGGUGGGCACUCUAGAGGGACUGCCGGCGACAAGUCGGAGGAAGGUGGGGAUGACGUCAAAUCAUCAUGCCCCUUAUGACCUGGGCUACACACGUGCUACAAUGGGCGGUACAAAGGGCUGCGAACCCGCGAGGGGGAGCGAAUCCCAAAAAGCCGCUCUCAGUUCGGAUUGCAGGCUGCAACUACGCUUGCAUGAAGCCGGAAUCGCUAGUAAUCGCGGAUCAGCUAUGCCGCGGUGAAUACGUUCCCGGGCUUUGUACACUCCGCCCGUCACUCCUCGAGAGCUUGCAACUCCUCGAAGUCGGUGAGGUAACCUUUACGGGAGCCUGCCUCUGAAGGUGGGGCAAGUGAUUGGGGUGAAGUC
Molecule: ribosomal RNA, 1493 nt
Filed under: uncultured organism
Description: 16S ribosomal RNA
Rfam family: Bacterial small subunit ribosomal RNA
Source: RNAcentral